Molecule: ribosomal RNA, 465 nt
Filed under: Vreelandella stevensii
Lineage: Bacteria; Pseudomonadati; Pseudomonadota; Gammaproteobacteria; Oceanospirillales; Halomonadaceae
Description: partial 16S ribosomal RNA
Rfam family: Bacterial small subunit ribosomal RNA
Source: RNAcentral
CCUACGGGGGGCUGCAGUGGGGAAUAUUGGACAAUGGGGGGAACCCUGAUCCAGCCAUGCCGCGUGUGUGAAGAAGGCCCUCGGGUUGUAAAGCACUUUCAGUGAGGAAGAACGCCUGGUGGUUAAUACCCAUCAGGAAAGACAUCACUCACAGAAGAAGCACCGGCUAACUCCGUGCCAGCAGCCGCGGUAAUACGGAGGGUGCGAGCGUUAAUCGGAAUUACUGGGCGUAAAGCGCGCGUAGGUGGCUUGAUAAGCCGGUUGUGAAAGCCCCGGGCUCAACCUGGGAACGGCAUCCGGAACUGUCAAGCUAGAGUGCAGGAGAGGAAGGUAGAAUUCCCGGUGUAGCGGUGAAAUGCGUAGAGAUCGGGAGGAAUACCGGUGGCGAAGGCGGCCUUCUGGACUGACACUGACACUGAGGUGCGAAAGCGUGGGUAGCAAACAGGAUUAGAUACCCCAGUAGUC